CUGUUAGUUGCUUUGGGGGGCAGGGGAGGGGUCAACUCCAGACAACCAAUCGUGCCUGGAGGAUAAAUUGGGUAGGACCAGAGCAGACAAGAGUAGGGAAGAGAGAGUCCUCUAAACAGCAUCUCCCACAGAGUCCCAAGGAUUUCCAGUACCUCAACCCAAAAUAUAGGUCUCAUGUAUCCCAGGCUGAUUACAAACUCACUGUAUAGCUAAGGAUGGUCUUGAACAUCUGAACUUGUUCUUCCUCUACCUUCCAAGUGUGGGACAACAGAUGUGCACUACCUCACUUGGUUUAUGUGGUG
RNAcentral lists this long non-coding RNA (302 nucleotides) under Cricetulus griseus (Chinese hamster). RNAcentral's name for it is "lncRNA (ENSCGRG00015034380.1)". The record is from RNAcentral. Lineage: Eukaryota; Metazoa; Chordata; Mammalia; Rodentia; Cricetidae.